RNAcentral lists this small nuclear RNA (164 nucleotides) under Echinops telfairi (small Madagascar hedgehog). RNAcentral's name for it is "U1 spliceosomal RNA (ENSETEG00000023192.1)". It matches the Rfam family "U1 spliceosomal RNA". Rfam says of the family: U1 is a small nuclear RNA (snRNA) component of the spliceosome (involved in pre-mRNA splicing). Its 5' end forms complementary base pairs with the 5' splice junction, thus defining the 5' donor site of an intron. The record is from RNAcentral. Lineage: Eukaryota; Metazoa; Chordata; Mammalia; Afrosoricida; Tenrecidae.
GUACUUACCUGGCAGGGGAGACACCAUGAUCAUGAAGGUGGUUUUCCCAGGGCGAGGCUCACCCAUUGCACUCUGAGUGUGCUGACCCCUGCGAGUUCCGCAAAUGUGGGAAACUCGACUGCAUAAUGUGUGGUAGUGGGGGACUGCGUUUGCACUAUCCCCUA